This 22-nucleotide microRNA is filed under the name Petromyzon marinus (sea lamprey). RNAcentral describes it as "pma-miR-4557". The record is from miRBase by way of RNAcentral. Lineage: Eukaryota; Metazoa; Chordata; Hyperoartia; Petromyzontiformes; Petromyzontidae.
AAAUGCUUCCAGUGACUGUGUC